GGCGCACGAUCGCGGGCAGGAAGCCACUCGGAAGUAUUUCCCACAUGAAGGAUGUUUGAAUUGUUUUGAUCAGUGGACUGACUUUCCUAUGAACGCUUAUUUAUUACACUGCACAAUGUGUGUUGGAGUUUAUCUGCGAGGUGAUGUGAAGGCUUGCUGACAUUAUGCCAACGACAAACAGAAAGAAGCAGAAGGGGAGGGACACGGCGGUACAGGGAACCAACGACAGCAGUGUGGUGAGCAAAGUGUCUGCUGCAGCGCAGGGCUACUUCCAGGAUUUCUUCCUACAACACUUUGUGUGCAAAGCAGCCAGGAGAGCCCCACUCAUCAACAGGGGUUACUAUGUACGCUGGAGAGCUGUGGACCACUGUGUGAGGAGGUUCCUACACGUUACUGAAAACUGCCCCAAGAGACAGAUUUUGUCAUUGGGCGCAGGGUUUGACUCUACGUAUUUUCGCCUACACGCAGAUGACGCUUUGGACAGGGCUGUUGUGUUUGAGGUUGAUUUUCCUGAUGUCACGCGACGCAAGGCUGCUCUCAUUAGUUCUAAUAUUACCCUGAGGGGGAUGUUAGACUCGCAUUUACCUUCUCUUACAGGACCUUUAUAUGUGUCUAGUGGUCAAUACCAUCUGCUAGGGGUGGAUGUUAGACAGGAGUCCCAGGUGGAAGAAGCUCUGGGUGCAGCUGGUCUGGACUGGGCUGCCCCUACACUAAUCUUAUCUGAAGUGGUACUUACAUACAUGGAAACACAAUGGUCCGAUGCUGUCAUUAGUUGGGCGGCAAAGCUCUUGCCACAGUCACUCUUCGUUAUGUACGAGCAGAUACAUCCCCAUGAUCCCUUUGGUCAGAUCAUGCAAGAUCAUUUCCUGAAACUAAAUUCAACUCUACAUGCCCUUCGACAGUACCCAGACACUGCUGCACAGAGACACAGGUUCCUGGACAAGGGCUGGGAGGAGUGUGUGUGUCUGGACAUGAAUGACUUCUACCUCGGGUUGGUCCCUGAGGAGGAGAGGUGCAGGGUGGAGAGCCUGGAGCCUUUUGAUGAAUAUGAGGAGUGGCACCAGAAAUGUUCCCACUAUUUCAUCCUCACUGCUUCCCGAGGAUCUUUGAUGGCACAGGCUUUGCUCUUGCACGCUCCAGUAUAUCCAGUGUCAUCCGUUUGCCCAUCUUGGAGCGCCACAGCUCUGAGUUUGCGGACCGUACCAGUUUCUAUGGAGGGGCUGGGGAUGGCUUCCGCCUUGGUGAGGCCAGGCCAGGUCCUACUAACAGGAGGCUCCAGCAGAGGGGGCAGGAGGGCAGUGACUAGGAUCCUCCUCAGGGACCAGGAAGGCUGGAGAUUUGUCUGUGUGGAACCAUCUGUAGAUUUAGGUGUUCGACUCUACCACACUGUUACCUCUCUUCCUGGAGGAGGUAUUGUGGUAUACGGUGGUCGCUCCUCUCCACUCAACCCAAUAAGAGGCCUUUUAAGAGUAAACCUGGACCCCAGUGGUCCACCUGGUCCUCUCGACUCUCAAAAGGGCCGAGACACAAUGAAACUUUGUGUGGAGCAGAUGAUCUGUACGGGGGAUUCACCACCGCCAAGAUGGAGGCACACUGCUACUGUGGUCUGUCACGAAGGUAAAGACUUUCUGUUUGUGUUUGGUGGUAAGAAUCAAUCAGAAGCAGCUCUGGGUGACGGCUACUUCCUCUGUCUAGACAAGCAGCACUGGACUGAGAUCCCAGUAGAGGGCGCACCACCAGAGGCCCGCCAUUCCCACUCAGCCUUUCCAUAUCAGGGAGGUGUGGUGGUGUUUGGAGGACUAGACAGAAGGGGAGUGCCACUGGGGGACACAGUGGUGUUAAGACCAACUGAGAGAGGCUUCUCCUGGGAAAGAAUAGAGGUGGAGCCCCCUCCUGUUCCCAGGUACGCUCACUCUGCCCAUGUGAUCGGUGAAAAGCUGGUUGUUGUUGGUGGAGUUUGGCUGCAUUCAGAGGGUGUACCAGGCGUUGUCAUGAUCAACCUCUCCACGUGCAGCAGUGUGGAGUUCAGCCUAGACACGACCUCAGUGCCCUGGCCUCUGAUGCUCCACUCAUUCUGCUCUGAGCUGACAGACCCAGAAGAACCAGAGCUGCUGCUGAUAGGUGGUGGAGGAAACUGUUUCUCCUUUGGGACUCACUUCAACCUUCAGCCUGUCACUGUGGACCUGAGACCUGUACUGGGAUGAAGUAGUCUAAAGGGUUCUGUGAAACUGUUAAGCAGCUCAAAUCAACAACUGAAGACAGGAUGAAAUGGAUUCACUUGAAUCAUGUGGGACAGUUUGAACAGAGCUCAGGCCUAUUGAAGGUCCCGGUUUGUUAUUGUUAUUGAAUCCAAAGUGUAGAUGUCUAAGUAUGCAAGGGCACAAAAGGCUCAAAAGACAUUAAACAUCUCAUGAAUAGAAAAUCAAAAAAAAUGUCUUUAGUCUGCUUAUUGGACAGGUUUUUAUUUGUGAGACCUCAGUUCAAAAUCACAAAAUAGUCAAUGAAAGUUAUAGUAAAAUAUCGACAUAGUAGGUUGCUUUGUUUUAACGUUUUAGAUGAAGGUUAAAUCAUUCAGUGAAGCGCCUGAAGGACUGGACCGUAGGGCUGACAGCGCCCCAGUCUCCUGGCUUGCGGUAUUCCCCCUUCUCGAGGAAGUACUGGCGUCCACGGUAGUUGGGGUGCUCGUAGAACACCCACCAGCCGUCGAAGACCUUACAGGAGUUGACCUCCCUCCAGCGGAACUUCUCCAGGAGGGAGGGACAGUCCUCUGUGGCCUCGAAGGCCUGGCCCCCGAAGUCUGCCUUCUCAUACAGCUGCAUCUUGUACUGGCUCCCACUGGUCUGGAAGGUGAUUGGAGGAAGCGAGGGAGACGGUAGAGGUAUGGGAGGAGAUGAGAGGGGGUGAAAAUGGAAGAUAGGUGAAAAGAGGUAGCAGGUGGAGAGUAGUGAAUGAAGG
Molecule: RNA transcript, 2955 nt
Organism: Micropterus dolomieu (smallmouth bass)
Lineage: Eukaryota; Metazoa; Chordata; Actinopteri; Centrarchiformes; Centrarchidae
Gene: lcmt2
Gene name: leucine carboxyl methyltransferase 2
Exons: 15
Source: RefSeq, a predicted model, not a curated record